AAAAUUAUUGACUGGGCAGGAGAGAAGGACUGAGACGGGAAUGUGGAAUGCACUGGGCAAAUGGUCACUGACACAGAGUGCAGAUGCCUGCUUCUGGGACUCAAUGCACUGCACCCUGGUCAUCUGCGGACUCAGCCUGAGCUUCCAGAGGGCCUAGGAGCAGUAAGGAGUGAGUGGGCAACUCAGCGCAUGAAGGAGGCCGCCCUCAUCUGCCUGGCACCCUCUGUACCCCCGAUCUUGACGGUGAAGUCCUGGGACACCAUGCAGUUGCGGGCUGCUAGAUCUCGGUGCACAAACUUGUUGGCAGCAAGUCCCGGCCAGUGUGCAGCUGCACACGGCGGUGGAGAUGCACCACUGGUGCAUCCCCUUCUCUGUGGAUGGGCAGCCGGCACCGUCUCUGCGCUGGCUCUUCAAUGGCUCCGUGCUCAAUGAGACCAGCUUCAUCUUCACUGAGUUCCUGGAGCCGGCAGCCAAUGAGACCGUGCGGCACGGGUGUCUGCGCCUCAACCAGCCCACCCACGUCAACAACGGCAACUACACGCUUCUGGCUGCCAACCCCUUCGGCCAGG
RNAcentral lists this small RNA (569 nucleotides) under Pan troglodytes (chimpanzee). RNAcentral describes it as "processed transcript". Lineage: Eukaryota; Metazoa; Chordata; Mammalia; Primates; Hominidae. The record is from RNAcentral.